AAAACGCGAAAACGUGUUAUGACAUGCAGUCUUUGAGAAUGAAUGACUUUUUGAACGCACCGUGUACUCGUGUGUCUAGCAUGAGUAUGUUUGUUUGAGCAUGGAACGAAUUCUUUACUAUUUAGUAAUCUAUGAGGAUUAGGGUUACCUAUUCUUGAAAUACAAUACGAUCACGUGUGAUUAUCACUGGAACAAACUUUCUUUGAUAAUCACACAACAUCCCCCUUUUUACACACCUAUCUCAAAUCAAACAAGAAGACCCGCUGAACUUAA
Molecule: unclassified non-coding RNA, 273 nt
Filed under: uncultured Sebacinales
Lineage: Eukaryota; Fungi; Basidiomycota; Agaricomycetes; Sebacinales
Description: sequence contains ITS1
Source: RNAcentral